AACAGGAUUAGAUACCCUGGUAGUCCACGCCCUAAACGAUGUCUACUAGUUGUCGGGUCUUAAUUGACUUGGUAACGCAGCUAACGCGUGAAGUAGACCGCCUGGGGAGUACGGUCGCAAGAUUAAAACUCAAAGGAAUUGACGGGGACCCGCACAAGCGGUGGAUGAUGUGGAUUAAUUCGAUGCAACGCGAAAAACCUUACCUACCCUUGACAUGUACGGAACCUUUGAGAGAUCAGAGGGUGCUCGAAAGAGAGCCGUAACACAGGUGCUGCAUGGCUGCCGUCAGCUCGUGUCGUGAGAUGUUGGGUUAAGUCCCGCAACGAGCGCAACCCUUGUCAUUAGUUGCUACGCAAGAGCACUCUAAUGAGACUGCCGGUGACAAACCGGAGGAAGGUGGGGAUGACGUCAAGUCCUCAUGGCCCUUAUGGGUAGGGCUUCACACGUCAUACAAUGGUACAUACAGAGGGCCGCCAACCCGCGAGGGGGAGCUAAUCCCAGAAAGUGUAUCGUAGUCCGGAUCGCAGUCUGCAACUCGACUGCGUGAAGUUGGAAUCGCUAGUAAUCGCGGAUCAGCAUGCCGCGGUGAAUACGUUCCCGGGUCUUGUACACACCGCCCGUCACACCAUGGGAGCGGGUUUUACCAGAAGUAGGUAGCUUAACCGCAAGGAGGGCGCUUACCACGGUAGGAUUCGUGACUGGGGUGAAGUCGUAACAAGGUAACC
This 725-nucleotide ribosomal RNA is filed under the name uncultured bacterium. RNAcentral describes it as "bacterial SSU rRNA". It matches the Rfam family "Bacterial small subunit ribosomal RNA", at positions 771 to 1501 of the family's 1533-position model. The record is from RNAcentral.